GGGGGAUNNNNNCGGUGGUCCCACCUGACCCCAUGCCGAACUCAGAAGUGAAACGCCGUAGCGCCGAUGGUAGUGUGGGGUCUCCCCAUGCGAGAGUAGGGAACUGCCAGGCA
RNAcentral lists this ribosomal RNA (113 nucleotides) under Salmonella enterica subsp. enterica serovar Bovismorbificans. The record is from RNAcentral. Lineage: Bacteria; Pseudomonadati; Pseudomonadota; Gammaproteobacteria; Enterobacterales; Enterobacteriaceae.